UUGAGCAAAAAUACAGUUCAGUUUUUAUAGUUUAUUAAUACUGUUUACUGUUUAAUUUUAAAAGAGAUAAAGUGCUUUAAAUGUUCUUAUCUUAUCUAUAUCUGUAUAAUAUAUAAAAAUGAAUUGCUGUUCGUUAGUCUCGCUAAAACUGGAAAACGGUUGGACCGAUUUGGCUAAUUUUGGUCUUGAGUUAUUUGCGGAGGUCCAGAGAAGGUUUAAAAGAAGAUCCAUCGAUUUGAUUUUCUUCGAAAACAAUUUUGUCUGAAGAUUUAACCUCGGAAUGAAGUUUACUAGCUAUUUCUGAAGCCGUAUCAAUCGCGAUCGUGUCCCGGGCCUGUAUAUUCGAACCGAAAUGCAUUUUGCAAGAUACGAUUAGGUUCUAAGGAUUUGUUUUGUGGUAUCAAAUUUAUUGUAAUUUUUUUUUGUUGCCCUUGUAGGCAGACGAGCAUACGGCCCACCUGAUGGUGAGUGGUUACCGUCGCCCAUGGACUUCAGCAAUGCCAGGGGCAGAGCCAGGCCGCUGCCUACCGCUUAAUACUCUCCACAAGCCUAUUUUAAAGAAGGACAUGUCAUAGCGCUCAGGAAACACCGUGGAGGGGAGCUCAUUCCAUAGCCGGAUGGUACGUGGCAAAAAUGACCUCUGGAAACGCACUGUCGAUGAACGCAGCGGUUUCAGAUAAUAUAGAUGAACUUAGCUCUGAUGGCGGGAGGUGCGAUGAUAAAAAGGAGAUGAGGGGAUCAUCUCAAACAAUUCCUCAGAGCACUCCCCAUGGAACAUACGGUACAAAAUACAGAGGAAACCGAAGUCCCUCCGCAGACCCAGAGGUUCCAAACGAUCCGUGAGAAAAAUCCGUGUUAGCUUACAUGACCUUCUUAAACCGAAAAACUGGCUUGAAGGUCUUCAGAUACGAUGAGAAUAAACUAGCCUAUUGGAUUGUAGUUGAUUCCAUAUCUUACCAUAAUAGCUUUACUGUUCAUUUAUAGUCGAAAUGGUAAUUACUACUGGUACUUACUUAAUACUACUAACUUCAAAGUCGAAACACAUCACGAAGUAAAUCCUCGUCAAGACAUGCUUUGAUAUUUUAUAACCGUAUGAGAAUACGAAUAAGUAGUAUAACACGGUAUUUUUCAAUACGAUAGAUUUGUGAUUAAACUUAUUUAGAAAAAUAUAUUAUGCAAUAUAAACACACAAUACAUGGAAGUUUUACCGAGCCGAACCGAAAUUUUUAUGCUGAUUUUUUUUUGUGUAAUAGGUAAAAAAAUACACACAGGCAUAGUUGAAAUGUUUCAUUCAGAAAAGUUAAUAAUAAUAAUACCUUUAUUUCCCGAAAAUUGUACAUUUUAAACUAACAAUUUCAAGUAGACUAAUAAAUAAAUAAAACUAUAUUACCUAAAUGAAAACAACUUAAUAUUAGAUAUAAAAGUACCCCGAUAUAGCAAAUAAACAUGUUCGUCGUACAA
Long non-coding RNA from Bombyx mori (domestic silkworm), 1461 nucleotides. RefSeq lists it as uncharacterized. The transcript is spliced from 2 exons. The record is from RefSeq and is a predicted model, not a curated record. Lineage: Eukaryota; Metazoa; Arthropoda; Insecta; Lepidoptera; Bombycidae.